AACCUUUACAAUGUGCGAAAGCAUGAUAAGGGAACUCCGAGUGCCAGCAUCUAAUGUUGGCUGUCCGUGUGCCUAAAACGCACAAGAUAGCAAGGGCCGGGUAAGACCGGUGCCAGCCGCCGCGGUAACACCGGCGGCCCGAGUGGUAGCCGCUAUUAUUGGGUCUAAAGGGUCCGUAGCCGGUUCGAUAAGUCCUCUGGGAAAUCUGGUUGCUUAACAAUCAGACUGCCAAGGGAUACUGUCGAACUUGAGACCGGGAGAGGUAAGAGGUACUUCAGGGGUAGGAGUGAAAUCUUGUAAUCCCUGGGGGACCAUCUGUGGCGAAGGCGUCUUACCAGAACGGGUCUGACGGUGAGGGACGAAAGCUGGGGGCGCAAACCGGAUUAGAUACCCGGGUAGUCCCAGCCGUAAACGAUGCUCGCUAUGUGUCAGGUACGGUGUGACCGUAUCUGGUGCCGUAGGGAAGCCGUGAAGCGAGCCACCUGGGAAGUACGGCCGCAAGGCUGAAACUUAA
RNAcentral lists this ribosomal RNA (514 nucleotides) under uncultured archaeon. RNAcentral describes it as "bacterial SSU rRNA". It matches the Rfam family "Archaeal small subunit ribosomal RNA", at positions 345 to 859 of the family's 1478-position model. The record is from RNAcentral.